AGAUCUGUUUGCCCUCGCUUGAGCCUGACUCCUUGCUACAGGAAAGACAAUGUUUAUGUAAGCAGCAGGUAAGUGAUAUGGCUUGGCUCUGUGUCCCCACCCAAAUCUCAUCUUGAAUUGUAGUUCCAUAAUUCCCAUGUGUUGUGGGAGGGACCCAGUGGUAGAUAAUUUGAAUCAUGGGGAGCAGUUUCCCCCAUACCGUUCUCAUGGUAGUGAGUAAGUCUCAUGAGAUCUGUCGUUUUAUCAGGGGUUUCUACUUUUGCGUCUUCCUCAUUUUCUCUUGCCACCACCAUGUAAGAAGUGCCUUUCACCUCCCACUAUGAUUCUGAGGCCUCCCCAGUCAUGGGGAACUGUAAGUGUAAUUAAACUUCUUUUUCUUCCGAGUCUUGGGUAUAUGUUUAUCAGCUGCAUGAAAAUGGACUAAUACAGUACAUUGGUACUGGAAGUGGGGCACUGCUGAAAAGAUACCCGAAAAUGUGGAAGCGACUUUAGAACUGGGUAACAGGCAGAAGUUAGAACAGUUUGGAGGGCUCAGAAGAAGACAGGAAAAUGUGGGAAAGUUUGGAACUCCCUAGAGACUUGUUGAAUGGCUUUGACAAAUGUAUUGUUAAUGAUAUGGACAAUGAAAUCCAGGCUGAGGUGGUCUCAGAUGGAGAUGAGUAACUUUUUGGGAACUGGAGCAAAGUUGACUCUUGUUAUGUUUUAGCAAAGAGACUGGCAGCAUUUUGCCUCUGCCCUAGAGAUCCGUGGAGCUUUGAAUUUGAGAGAGAUGAUUUAGGGUACCUGGCAGAAGAAAUUUGUAAGCAGCAAAGCACUCAAGAGGUGACUGGGGUGCUUCUAAAGGCAUUCAGUUUUAAAAAGGAAGCAGAGCAUAAAAGUUUGGAAAAAUUUGCAGCCGGACAAUGUCAUAGGAUAGAAAAUCUUAUUUUCUGAGGAGAAAUUCAAGCUGGCUGCAGAUACUUGCAUAAAUAAUGAGGAGCUGAAUGUUAAUCUCCAAGACAAUGGGGGAAGUGUCUCCAGGGCAUGUCAGAGACCUUUGUGGCAGCCUCUGUCAUAACAGACCUGGAGGUCUAGGAGGGAAAAAUGGUUUUGUGGGCAGGGCCCAGGGUCCCCAUGCUGUGUGCAGUAUAGAGACUUGGUGCCCUGUGUCCCAGCCACUCCCACUGUAGCUGAAAGGGGCCAACAUAGAGCUCAGGCCAUGGCUUCAGAUGGUGCAAGCUUCAAGCCUUGGCAGCUUCCAUGUGGUGUUGAGCCUGUGGGUGCACAGAAGUCAAGAAUUGAGGUUGGGAACCUCUGCCUAGAUUUCAGAUGUAUGGAAAUGCAUGGAUGCCCAGGCAGAAGUUUGCUGCAGGGGUGGGGCUCUCAUGGAGAACCUUUGCUAGGGCAGGGUGCAAGGGAAAUGUGGGGUUGGAACCCCCACACAGAGUCCCUACUGGGGCACUGUGGUUGAAUGGCUUUGACAUUGGCCUAGUGGAGCUGUGAGAAGAGGGCCACUGUUCUCCAGACCCCAGAAUUGUAGAGCCACCCACAGCUUUCACCAGGUGCCUGGAAAAGCCAUGGACACUCAAUGCCAGCCCAUGAAUGCAGCGGGGAGGGAGGCUGUACCCUGCAAAGCCACAGGGGUGGAGCUGCCCAAGACUAUGGGAACCCACCUCUUGCAUCAGCAUGACCUGGAUGUGAGACCUGGAGUCAAAGGAGAUCAUCUUGCAGCUUUAAGAUUUGACUGCCCUGCUUGAUUUCAGACUUGCAUGGGGCCUGUAGCCCCUUUGUUUUGGCCAAUUUCCCCCAUUUGGAAUGGCUAUAUCUACCCAAUACCUGUACCCCCAUUGUAUCUAGGAAGUAACUAGCUUGCUUUUGAUUUUACAGGCUCAUAGGAGGAAGGGACUUGCCUUGUCUCAGAUGACACUUUGGACUUUUGGGUUAAUGCUGAAAAGAGUUAAACUUUGGGGGACUGUAGGGAAGACAUGAUUGGUUUUGAAAUGUGAGGACAUGAGAUUUGGAGGGGCCAGGGGUGGAAUGAUAUGGUUUGGCUCUGUGUCCCCACCCAAAUCUCAACUUGAAUUGUAUCUCCAAUAAUUCCCAUGUGUUGUGAGAGGGACCCAGUGGGAAAUAAUUUGAAUCACGGGGGCAGUUCCCCCAUACUGUUCUCAUGGUAGUGAAUAAGUCUCAUGAGAUCUAAUGGUUUUAUAAGGGUUUUCUGUUUUUUCAUCUUCCUCGUCUUCUCUUGCUGCUGCCAUAUAAGAAAUGCCUUUUACCUCCCACUGUGAUUCUGAGGCCCCCUCAGCCAUGUGGAAUUGUGAAUACUUGGCAGGACAACAGGCAGACAAGGAGCAGCCUGGGCUACACCCUCCUCCAUCCAGCUUGGCAGGGAAGGUCUUGGUGCCUCAGUUGAAACUUCCAAUUUAACAUCCUGACACACACUACUCCCUCUUCCUGUGAUCAUCAGAACAAGAUAAAACCUUGUGUGUCUGGAUAGUUCUCAUCUGUUAAGAUUCAGGU
This 2499-nucleotide long non-coding RNA is filed under the name Homo sapiens (human). RNAcentral describes it as "HSALNT0354767". Lineage: Eukaryota; Metazoa; Chordata; Mammalia; Primates; Hominidae. The record is from RNAcentral.